RNAcentral lists this ribosomal RNA (253 nucleotides) under uncultured bacterium. RNAcentral describes it as "partial 16S ribosomal RNA". It matches the Rfam family "Bacterial small subunit ribosomal RNA", at positions 524 to 776 of the family's 1533-position model. The record is from RNAcentral.
UACGGGGGGGGCGAGCGUUGUUCGGAAUUAUUGGGCGUAAAGGGAGCGUAGGCGGUGCGGUAAGACUGGUGUGAAACCUUCAGGCUUAACUUGGAGCUUGCAUCAGUGACUGCCGUGCUAGAGUGCGGGAGAGGAUAGUGGAAUUCCCGGUGUAGUGGUGAAAUGCGUAGAUAUCGGGAAGAACAUCGGUGGCGAAGGCGGCUAUCUGGACCGUAACUGACGCUGAGGCUCGAAAGCUAGGGGAGCAAACAGG